GAUGAACGCUGGCGGCGUGGAUAAGGCAUGCAAGUCGAGCGAUCCCGUCAUUCAUAUAGCAAUAUAUGGAAGACGGGAGAGCGGCGAACGAGUUAGUAACACGUGGAUACGUACCCUGAAGACGGGCACAACCAGCCGAAAGGUUGGCUAAUUCCCGAUAGUUCCCGUAAGGGUAAAGCCCUGAGAUUUUCGAAGGGCGCUUCAGGAGCGGUCCGCGGCCUAUCAGCUUGUUGGUGAGGUAAUGGCUCACCAAGGCUAUGACGGGUAGGGGAGGUGAGAGCCUGUUCCCCAACGAUGGGACUGAGAUACGGCCCAUACUCCUACGGGAGGCGGCAGUCAAGGACAUUGGACAAUGGGGGAAACCCUGAUCCAGCGACGCCGCGUGCGGGAUGAAGGCCUUCGGGUUGUAAACCGCUUUUAUAGAGGAAGAAACUUUUAGUUGACGGUACUCUAUGAAUAAGGGGGUGCUAACUCUGUGCCAGCAGCAGCGGUAAUACAGAGCCCCCGAGCGUUAUCCGGAUUUAUUGGGCGUAAAGCGUCUGUAGCCGGUUUAGAAAGUCUCUUGUUAAAUACCAAGGGCUCAACCUUUGGAAUGCAAGGGAAACUUCUAGACUCGAGGAUGUUAGGGGCUGAUGGAACUCUUAGUGGAGGGGUGGAAUCCGUUGAUAUUAAGAGGAACACCAAAAGCGAAGGCAUUCAGCUGGAACAGUCCUGACGGUGAGAGACGAAAGCGUGGGGAGCGAAAAGGAUUAGAUACCCUUGUAGUCCACGCCGUAAACGAUGGAUACUAGCUAUGUGAAGUGUCGACCCUUCACGUGGCGAAGCUAACGCGUUAAGUAUCCCGCCUGGGAAGUACGAUCGCAAGAUUAAAACUCAAAGGAAUAGACGG
Molecule: ribosomal RNA, 889 nt
Filed under: uncultured bacterium
Lineage: Bacteria
Description: bacterial SSU rRNA
Rfam family: Bacterial small subunit ribosomal RNA
Source: RNAcentral